Peromyscus maniculatus bairdii (prairie deer mouse) is the source of this 956-nucleotide non-coding RNA. Lineage: Eukaryota; Metazoa; Chordata; Mammalia; Rodentia; Cricetidae. The record is from RefSeq and is a predicted model, not a curated record.
GCGUGGGCGGGGCGUGGGGGGUCCGUGGAGCACAGAGAGGGCAUGUCAGUCCAUUUCUAGGUAAGUACCUUGUCCUGGCUGCUCUGGGAACAUGUAUCUCCCAUCAGAGGUCACUGCCCGUUCUGUAACACGCAUGAGGAGAGACCCGCAGCUGAGACACGCUGCUCCAGCUCUCUCGCUCAGAACCACUCUGGGCUCCGAGGUGCCGCGUGCGUCCUUGGGCCCAUUGCUUCCUCCCAGGUCCUCUCACCUCUGUCUACCAGGAAGCGAAGUUUCUGGACCACCGCCAGGUUCCCACUCACCCGGUAGAUGCCGUCCACAUCCAGACCUAGGGGGCGAGGCACAGGGAAGCCUCAACACAAAGCCGCACAAAGCUGGGCACGGUGUCCCCUUCCCUUUGGCACAGCGACUCCAGCUGGCAACCAAACACUUGGUCUGCAGAGCAAGGGAAAGGGGAGAUCAUCAGUAAAGGUCUCCGGUACCCGCGUAAGACUGGGGCUGCUGCCCCGCGGGGGUACCGACCGGCUCUCUGCUCCUCCAAUAAUGGGGAGGAGGGGAAAACAGAUGUCAGCAGGUUCUAACUGGUUCUGGAUGCUCCGCUUUGAGCCUCACUUGAGUUUCGGUUCGUGCUAAGAUUAGGAAUAUGGAAGAUCCUGAAAACACACCUAUCGGUCCUCGCAUGGUGCCUUUUUUGUUUUUGUUUUUCCAGAGAGGGUCUCUCUGUGUAGCGCUGGCUGUCCUAGAACUCGCUUGUUAGACUAGGCUGGCCUCGAACUCCGAGAUCCACCCGAGUGCUGGGAUUAAAGGCAUCGCCACCACCCAGCGUAAGAUGCCUCUUCCCUGUAAUCCCAGCGACACUUAGGAGGCUGAGGCAGGAGGAUUGCCCAAGGUUGAGGGCAGCGCUGGGAUGAAUACUGAGAGUAUGUUUCAACCAUAAUAAAAUCCGAAAACCAAAA